AGGGUUCGCAACAUAUAAUGUUAUCUUGUUUAUGAAGGCUUGGAGUUCGAGCAUAGGAGUGGCGCGGAGGCUUCGCAUUCGAUAAAGGAGUGGCGUGGAGCCUUCAAAGUCACAUUUUGUGUACACAAGAAGAAGAACGAAUGGAGAGUCGUAAACGGAAAAACGAAAAAUGGAAAAGGGAGAUAAAGGAGAUGACAACGCUCGCGUUAAGGAGAAGAGUGGAGGCUAUGGAGAUGGAGAAGAAUAGACAAAAAAGAAGAAGAUGGCUAUGGCGUUCCCGAUGAAGGCUUUCGCGAUAUCAUAAAAUUUUCCGGUGAAGACGUAUGUAUAGCUGCGUCAAAAUGGGUUUAAAGCAAUUGUUGCAAGCAAAGAUAAUGCAAAGUAAUGGUU
RNAcentral lists this long non-coding RNA (390 nucleotides) under Vigna radiata. RNAcentral's name for it is "long non-coding RNA (VRAD_LNC005515)". The record is from RNAcentral. Lineage: Eukaryota; Viridiplantae; Streptophyta; Magnoliopsida; Fabales; Fabaceae.